RNAcentral lists this ribosomal RNA (1167 nucleotides) under Salmonella enterica. RNAcentral's name for it is "bacterial SSU rRNA". It matches the Rfam family "Bacterial small subunit ribosomal RNA", at positions 1 to 1162 of the family's 1533-position model. Lineage: Bacteria; Pseudomonadati; Pseudomonadota; Gammaproteobacteria; Enterobacterales; Enterobacteriaceae. The record is from RNAcentral.
UGAAGAGUUUGAUCAUGGCUCAGAUUGAACGCUGGCGGCAGGCCUAACACAUGCAAGUCGAACGGUAACAGGAAGCAGCUUGCUGCUUCGCUGACGAGUGGCGGACGGGUGAGUAAUGUCUGGGAAACUGCCUGAUGGAGGGGGAUAACUACUGGAAACGGUGGCUAAUACCGCAUAACGUCGCAAGACCAAAGAGGGGGACCUUCGGGCCUCUUGCCAUCAGAUGUGCCCAGAUGGGAUUAGCUUGUUGGUGAGGUAACGGCUCACCAAGGCGACGAUCCCUAGCUGGUCUGAGAGGAUGACCAGCCACACUGGAACUGAGACACGGUCCAGACUCCUACGGGAGGCAGCAGUGGGGAAUAUUGCACAAUGGGCGCAAGCCUGAUGCAGCCAUGCCGCGUGUAUGAAGAAGGCCUUCGGGUUGUAAAGUACUUUCAGCGGGGAGGAAGGUGUUGUGGUUAAUAACCGCAGCAAUUGACGUUACCCGCAGAAGAAGCACCGGCUAACUCCGUGCCAGCAGCCGCGGUAAUACGGAGGGUGCAAGCGUUAAUCGGAAUUACUGGGCGUAAAGCGCACGCAGGCGGUCUGUCAAGUCGGAUGUGAAAUCCCCGGGCUCAACCUGGGAACUGCAUUCGAAACUGGCAGGCUUGAGUCUUGUAGAGGGGGGUAGAAUUCCAGGUGUAGCGGUGAAAUGCGUAGAGAUCUGGAGGAAUACCGGUGGCGAAGGCGGCCCCCUGGACAAAGACUGACGCUCAGGUGCGAAAGCGUGGGGAGCAAACAGGAUUAGAUACCCUGGUAGUCCACGCCGUAAACGAUGUCUACUUGGAGGUUGUGCCCUUGAGGCGUGGCUUCCGGAGCUAACGCGUUAAGUAGACCGCCUGGGGAGUACGGCCGCAAGGUUAAAACUCAAAUGAAUUGACGGGGGCCCGCACAAGCGGUGGAGCAUGUGGUUUAAUUCGAUGCAACGCGAAGAACCUUACCUGGUCUUGACAUCCACAGAACUUUCCAGAGAUGGAUUGGUGCCUUCGGGAACUGUGAGACAGGUGCUGCAUGGCUGUCGUCAGCUCGUGUUGUGAAAUGUUGGGUUAAGUCCCGCAACGAGCGCAACCCUUAUCCUUUGUUGCCAGCGAUUAGGUCGGGAACUCAAAGGAGACUGCCAGUGAUAAA